CCGCCUACGGGAGGCAGCAGNGGGGAAUCUUGGACAAUGGGCGCAAGCCUGAUCCAGCCNUGCCGNNUGAGUGAUGAAGGCCUUAGGGUCGUAAAGCUCUUUCGCCAGAGAUGAUAAUGACAGUAUCUGGUAAAGAAACCCCGGCUAACUCCGUNCCNGCAGCCGCGGUAAUACGGAGGGGGUAAGCGUUGUUCGGAAUUACUGGGCGUAAAGCGCGCGUAGGCGGACCAGAAAGUAAGGGGUGAAAUCCCAGGGCUCAACCCUGGAACUGCCUCUUAAACUCCUGGUCUUGAGUUCGANAGAGGUGAGUGGAAUUCCGAGUGUAGAGGUGAAAUUCGUAGAUAUUUCGGAGGGAACACCAGUGGCGAAGGCGGCUCACUGGCUCGAUACUGACGCUGAGGUGCGAAAGUGUGGGGAGCAAACAGGAUUAGAUACCCUGGUAGUCCACACCGUAAACGAUGAAUGCCAGUCGUCGGGUAGCAUGCUAUUCGGUGACACACCUAACGGAUUAA
RNAcentral lists this ribosomal RNA (512 nucleotides) under uncultured bacterium. RNAcentral's name for it is "bacterial SSU rRNA". It matches the Rfam family "Bacterial small subunit ribosomal RNA", at positions 335 to 863 of the family's 1533-position model. The record is from RNAcentral.